RNAcentral lists this long non-coding RNA (901 nucleotides) under Monodelphis domestica (gray short-tailed opossum). RNAcentral describes it as "lncRNA (ENSMODG00000036113.2)". Lineage: Eukaryota; Metazoa; Chordata; Mammalia; Didelphimorphia; Didelphidae. The record is from RNAcentral.
ACCCUACUGCUUCUUAAAAUUGAGAGAGUGAUUUUUCCAUGAUAGGAUAGUGAAUCAGCUGUAUUUCUGCCUCUAAGGAACUAUAUUUUAAAUCUCAAUCCAAUUACAUUAGCCUCUUAAAAGAAAAGAAAAACCACUGUACUCUGGACCUUUGGGCUAGGAUCUUGGUUUGGUCAUUCAUCAGACAUUUUUCUGCUGUAAGUUAGCUAGUUGGAUCACUUUCCCACCCAGCAUCAGAGUUUCAUUUGCACUGAUUACCCCACAUUCCACAAAAAAAGUCAUUAGGAAUUCUGUUUCAGUGAAUAAAAGAAUGUAAAUGAGGUAAUUAUGAGCUCCACUUACCUUCCUAACCCCAUGCAUUGUGACAUCAUUAAUGCCUUCCCAUGAUCUGUUCACUGGAAAAGUCAGGAAGAUGGAAAAGCAACAUUGUUGGGAAAGAAGAUUAGAGUCAAGUUUACCUUUGUGUCUUCUUUUGGUGGGGGGAGAUCUUUUGAGAAUAAAGGAAGAAAAAGAGAAGAAGAAAACAAAGAGAAAGAGAUACAGGCCCAGUGAUGAGGACAGAGGCAAGGGCAGGAGUGUCUUCCUAUUGCUAUUGAUGAAUACAGCAGCUGGAGGGAGUAGGAACGAGGAUGAGGUGGCAGAAAUUAAGAGGAAGGAAAAAAAUCAUUUUCAAAAUGAUAAUGUGAGUGAUGAGUAAUAGGUAAACAAAUAUGACAUUUGGCAUUUGUACCAAUAGUAUUCUGUCUGUAAGCCCUUUCAUCUUUUUCUCUAGAUGUAGGCCAUCAGUUUUACACUAUAAUGCCCUUCUAGAUUUUAGAUAGGUUUUUUUGGUAACAGAAGUAAUAACUUCUUGAAUCAAUCAAUCAAUAAAUAGUGCUGAGUACAUAAUAAUUGUCUAAUA